RNAcentral lists this ribosomal RNA (659 nucleotides) under Hygrocybe coccinea. Its description in RNAcentral is "eukaryotic LSU rRNA". The stretch from base 223 to 376 matches the Rfam family "5.8S ribosomal RNA". Lineage: Eukaryota; Fungi; Basidiomycota; Agaricomycetes; Agaricales; Hygrophoraceae. The record is from RNAcentral.
CGGAAGGAUCAUUACUGAAGUGAUUUGGGGAUGUUGCUGGCCCUCAGGGGCAAUGUGCACUCUCUGAAACAAUUCACUAUUUCCAUCACACCCUUGUGCACAUCUUGUAGGCUCGUCCUCUCACCUCUCGGUGGGGCGUCCUAUGUAUUCCAUCAUCUCACACUUUUGAAUGGUGCUCUCGAAUGCAUCUUAUGGAUUAUUUGUAAAAGUAAUCACAGAAACAACUUUCAACAAUGGAUCUCUUGGCUCUCGCAUCGAUGAAGAACGCAGCGAAAUGCGAUACGUAAUGUGAAUUGCAGAAUUCCGUGAAUCAUCGAAUCUUUGAACGCACCUUGCGCCUCUUGGUAUUCCGAGGGGCAUGCCUGUUUGAGUGUCAUUGAAUCCUCAAAAGGAAACCUUCUCAGGAGGGGCUUCUCUUUUGGAAUUGGGGCGUGCUGGCCUCUGUACGAAGCCCAGCUCCCCUGAAAUACAUUAGCGAUGUGACAUCCACAUGCACACGCUUCUCCGGCAUUGAUAGCUUUUCAUGCUCGAGUCGCGCAGCAGCCGUGGAAAGGUUUGCUCGCUCACAAUUGAUGAUGGCGGGUUUUACUCACCAUCCUCUCUGACCAAAUAUAACCUCAAAUCAGGUAGGAUUACCCGCUGAACUUAAGCAUAUCAAA